CUACGGGUCGCUCCAGUGAGGAAUAUUGCACAAUGGGGGGAACCCUGAUGCAGCAACGCCGCGUGGAGGAUGACGCAUUUCGGUGUGUAAACUCCUUUUAUAUGUCAAGAAAAUGACGGUAGUAUAUGAAUAAGCACCGGCUACUCCGUGCCAGCAGCCGCGGUAAUACGGAGGGUGCAAGCGUUACUCGGAAUCACUGGGCGUAAAGGACGCGUAGGCGGGUUGGAAAGUCAGGUGUGAAAUCCUACAGCUUAACUGUAGAACUGCACUUGAAACUUCUAAUCUAGAGUAUGGGAGGGGGAGAUGGAAUUAGUGGUGUAGGGGUAAAAUCCGUAGAUAUCACUAGGAAUACCUAAAGCGAAGGCGAUCUCCUGGAACAUUACUGACGCUAAGGCGUGAAAGCGCGGGGAGCAAACAGGAUUAGAUACCCUGGUAGUC
This 438-nucleotide ribosomal RNA is filed under the name uncultured bacterium. RNAcentral describes it as "partial 16S ribosomal RNA". It matches the Rfam family "Bacterial small subunit ribosomal RNA", at positions 339 to 795 of the family's 1533-position model. The record is from RNAcentral.